GAACAUGGGCAUAAAUCUGAUAGAUUUGUAGACGAGGGACAGCUGCGCGCGUUUGCUUUUUAAAUUUUGUAUUUUUCAAAUUUGAAGAUGGAUUACCUACCAAAUGAAUUGUAAACCUUUUUAGAAUAUGUACUCCUUAUCUUUGCAACCUUGAACAUAUUAACUUGUAUAUCGUAAAUUUGGGUGGCGUGUUUUUCCGAUUUUUGAAUUGUAAAGCGACGGUACGGGGAGACUCGAGCGCGCCAGCCUAAGUUUUUUAGUCUUCUACUGACCGCCACCGCUUUCACAUCGUUAACUUUCAAAUCCGCCCCUCUGGCACCUUGAAUUAGAAUUUUCAUUGUAAUCAAACAUAUUGGAUAAUAAACACUUGAGAUUCAUAGAUUGUAAAGCAAAUUAUAUCUCUUUUCGUUACGCAUUUACAUGCAUACGUUUUAUGCAAGUGCACUCUGCACGUACGCAACAAGUGGACUGAAAAAAAGCACCCAGUGAGAAAUUAAAGUCGCACGAGACAAGCUAAAAAAAAAAAAAGAAAAAAGGAACAUGAGCAUCCUUACAAACAAAUAUUAGUGACGCAACAACAAACCAACUGCAAAGGCAAAAAAAAAAAAAAAAA
Molecule: long non-coding RNA, 613 nt
Organism: Rhagoletis zephyria (snowberry fruit fly)
Lineage: Eukaryota; Metazoa; Arthropoda; Insecta; Diptera; Tephritidae
Source: RefSeq, a predicted model, not a curated record